AGCAGCAGCCGCGGUAAUACGAAGGGGGCUAGCGUUGCUCGGAAUGACUGGGCGUAAAGAGCGCGUAGGCGGAUUGUUUAGUUAGGCGUGAAAUUCCUGGGCUUAACCUGGGGACUGCGCUUAAUACAGGCAGUCUAGAGUGAGGAAGAGGGUUGUGGAAUUCCCAGUGUAGAGGUGAAAUUCGUAGAUAUUGGGAAGAACACCGGUGGCGAAGGCGGCAACCUGGUCCUUGACUGACGCUGGGGCGCGAAAGCGUGGGGAGCAAACAGGAUUAGAUACCCCCGUAGUCCCUGUCUCUUAUAC
RNAcentral lists this ribosomal RNA (303 nucleotides) under uncultured bacterium. Its description in RNAcentral is "partial 16S ribosomal RNA". It matches the Rfam family "Bacterial small subunit ribosomal RNA", at positions 507 to 807 of the family's 1533-position model. The record is from RNAcentral.